This 2568-nucleotide long non-coding RNA is filed under the name Macaca fascicularis (crab-eating macaque). RNAcentral's name for it is "lncRNA (ENSMFAG00000064172.1)". The record is from RNAcentral. Lineage: Eukaryota; Metazoa; Chordata; Mammalia; Primates; Cercopithecidae.
CACCCCUCUGCCCCCAGAAUACCUGUGUACAUGUGUAUGGACAGACAUGCCCACAUGUGUGGUUUUUAAAUGGCCCUGCACAGUUGUCUCUGGGGCCGGCCGGUUGUGUCUCAUGGGAUAAAGUUCCACUUAGAGAUGGCACCCAUCUCGGCCCACAGGUCACCACUCUGUCCUCCUCAGUCUCCAAAGCCAUUUUCAGAGCCUGCCCUGAGGAUUUGUCCUCCUCCAGUCCCCAGUGCCAGAGCCAGCAGGUCCUGGCUAUAGACUGGAGGUGGGGACACUAAAGGGUCUGAAGGGCUGGCCAGGAAAGGCUUCAGGCUGGGGACCUCUUCGAUGCUCACCCUGAGCCAGGCACCGAUUUCACUACCUGAAAGGUGACUGGGAAGCGGCAGAAGGCAGCCGCAAGAACACAACAGACGGCCCCAGCCACCCCGCCCCACCCGUGAGCGCCCACGCCCUGGAACAGCGCAACAUCGCCACCGUGCGGCCGCCGGCCUGAACAACAGCCUCUCAGCCCCUGGGGUCCGUAGCUCUAGGUCUCUGGAGACCUCCAAACUGGGUCCGGGAUUUUAAACCUUACCUUUUCCAUAAAGUCCUUCCUAAUCCAGAUUUCACUGUGAUUCCUGCAGACUCUAGGUCUGAGUGGGACUCGCCAUGGCUGCAAUAAGCAGGACUCAGGUUAAACUUUCAUUAAAUUUACAUGGUUAUGAUUCGUAGCUAAAACAAUGGCGAUACAAGGUAGUUUAGGGGGAUCAGAGAGUUGGAUCAUCUUGAGAUCUCAGCAACGAAAACAGCUGGUCAGGAGGGCAACGCCUCUGCGGGGCUGCAUUGAGCUUGUGGAGGCACAGCAGCAGCCCUGCGCUCUUCCCCUGUGAGGCCAGCCUGCUGUGCAGGGGACCUGUGCACGGGGGGCCCUUGGCCUGGCCCUCCCACCUCCUCCUCUAACACUUCAGACCUCAGCUGUGGCCUUCGCCUGGGUGAAGGAAAGGCUGGUCAGCACAGACCUGUGCAGGCCUCUGGCCUCUCCCAGCCUCUGCAGGGCUGGACUGCCAUCCUCAGCAAGGAGUAACUACAGCCUGCUGGCAUUCCCACCCCGUCAGCUCAGGCUCUUGGACCAGAGACUUCUGUCUUCGUGAGAGCUGUCAGCACAGGGCCUGAGUGAUGUGUCUGGCCUCUGGAGAGUCAGGGAGUCUCAGCCUGAUCUUCUGAUCUCCAGCCAGAAGUAACACAGGAUUUGGUCCCAUAAUCUUUUUAAAGGCAUUGACACUUGAUUGAUUUUCCAGGGAUCAAAUGCUUCUCUACAUUCAGGCAGGCUUCCAGCAUCCCCCGAGGACCAAGGACGUCCUUUAAACCGCGGCUCUGGGCAUCUGCUGGAGCACUUGGUGAUGCUGCUGCUCCGUGGCACUUGGAAUGGCAUGACCUGCUGCUAAAACGGUGCUCUCCAACCUCACGGGAACGCUUCUUAGCACACAGGCCACUGGCCCCAUCCAGUGGGCCCCCCAGUUUCUGUUCAGGAGGUCUGGAUGAAGCAUGAGACUCUGCACCUAUGAGUCCCAGGAAACGAAACGACACGCCUUGUCCCACUCAGACCUCCCGCACAGAGUCCUGGAAAGGGUGGGAUGGCCCUGAAGGCUGGCCAUCCGUGUUCACCCUGCUCCCCGGUUGGGACUCUGACCUGGGGGAGAGAGCAGUCCAGGAGACUGUCAAGCCACAGUGGAGCCGAGGGUGGUGGCAUGGCACGGGCUGGGCUCGCCUCCCUGAAUCCCACUGCAUGGGUGACCACGUCUACACCUGGGCCAAGCCCCAGCUGCCGAGGCUCAUGCACACUUAGGAACCAGACCACCCACAGGCCCUGUGGAACCUCUACAUUUAACACAGACCAUUCCCUCAGCGCCUGCACUGGGCACUUCUGUCUGACGUUAUCAGGAGGGAAUGAGCACGUCAGAGCAGAAAAGGAAUGACAUUUACAGCACACACAGGAGUCCUUCAGUGUCGUCUUCACUCUACUUCCCAUGCCUUGGUGAGAACAGAUGUUCCUUCCCUCCCUGGGGAGGAAAAUGCGACAGAUAUUCUCGAACAGGUUCCAGGCAACACUCCCUCCCUCAAAAGGGUAAAACAGGCUAAAAUGAAACAGGCACUGCAGGCCGGGCGCAGUGGCUCACGCCUGUAAUCCCAGCACUUUGGGAGGGGAACACGGGCGGAUCACCUGAGGUCAGGAGUUCAAGACCAGCCUGACCAAAAUGGAGAAACCCCGUCUCUACUAAAAAUACAAAAUUAGCUGGGCAUGGUGGUGCAUGCCUGUAACCCCAGCUACUCGGGAGGCUGAGACACGAGAACAGUUUGAACCCAGAAGGCGGAGGUUGCGGUGACCCAAGAUUGAGCCAUUGCACUCCAGCCUGGGCAACAAGAGCGAAACUCCACCUCCAAAAAAAAAAAAAAAAAAAAGGGAGAAAGAGGCACUGCAAACCCCACCUCCCCCGAGAAGCCUUGCAGCAUUGCUGCAAUCAGACUAUAUUUCCUCCCUUUUGUUUCCAUAACUCAUGGCAGGCAAAAAAAAAAAAAAAAAAA